This is a long non-coding RNA of Synchiropus splendidus (mandarinfish), 2703 nucleotides long. RefSeq lists it as uncharacterized. The record is from RefSeq and is a predicted model, not a curated record. The transcript has 4 exons. Lineage: Eukaryota; Metazoa; Chordata; Actinopteri; Syngnathiformes; Callionymidae.
UCACCCUCCGCAAUUCGUCUCACAUCACUGUGCUCCGUGUUUUUCUUCUCUGUGCGAGUCGAUGGAGAUUAUCUUGUUUGGCAAAAGAAGCAUGAAUGGACGUAAAGCUGGUGAUGAUGCUCCGGAGGAUGCGGCAGCAUCACUAUUGCACCUUCUGCUGUUGACCUUCUACGAGUGAGGGCUUCCACUCAUCACGUCCAUCCUGACCAGGUUUCGGCAGGCGAGUGCCGCGUCAUUUUCUCUGUGGGAAUGAAGUGACCUGCUAAGGCGUGACCGUGUCUGCGUGAUGACCAUCAUGGUGACAUCCCUUUGGCAAUUUGUUCCAAAUCUUUCAAGUGCGUAAACCAGCCCGGAGCAGAAGUUUUAUUCGGGGAGGGUGGGAGGUACUGCAGUUUUUGCUACUCAAGAAGUCGUCGCUCCACCCCGGUGUGCGCUCUUGCAUCCACGUUGCUCCGGCGGUGCGUCAACUGUGCCAACAGGACGCAACUACUGAGGGAAGGCGCGUCAUUCUAACAGAACAAUGGACAGCAGGAUGGUGAAGGAGCAGAGAAAGAAGCAGAGAUUGAAGGGGGAAAUGUGGAUGUCUCUUUUUAUGGAGAGGAGAUUGUUCUUUCCUGACUGGAAUCUAUACAGCGGAGAAGUUCCGUCACUGUCGGGCAUUGUCGAGCACUUGUACCCACAGAGGUCCAGCCCUCAGGAUCAGCCGUCUGCAUAUGAACCACGCUUGUCACCAACUGACGUCAUCUCAUCGGGAUCGGAGGAGGACGAAACUCUGAAGAAGCAGAGUGGGUGGAAAGAUGUAAAGAGAGAAGGAUGGAAGGAGUUCGAGGAGGUUGUUGGAAGCGAGUGAACUGAGAGCAGGUGAAGACAGCUGUGCAUUGCCACGGGCUCUCUGGCUGCCGUCCUCCCUUGGCCCAGGCGCCGCAUUCAAGGGUCCCAAGCAGCCGGUAGGGGCCAGAAAGCUGCGGCAGAGUUGGCAGACUGGGCCAGCCAAGCCAGGAUAGAGGCAGGUGAUGAUGGUUAGCUGAGCUCUCAUCCCCGCCGGCUAGGAGCAUCCACAGCAGAUCGGAGCAGCGCGGGGCAGCAGAAAUCAAUAUGGAGGAGAGAGGCUAGCAGGGGUUGCCCAGCACUGCCUGCAGGCCUUGGAGCCCAGGGACCAACCAACACCACAGCUCCAGCUUCCAUCUCCAUCAUUCUUUCUAUCUUCCUCCUGCAAUUUCAGCACCAGCCUGGGCCACGGCCAUAACCCUGCAACCGCCCCACACUCUGUGUGUGUUAGUCAGAACAUGCACAUGUGUGUGUCAAAGAGAAAGGAAAAGACGGAAAAGUGUGUGUGUGUGGUUCAGCCGGAGGGAGUUUUUGCUUCGUUCAACACCUCUUGAUAAAAGUUUGUCAGAGAGACACUGAGAGUGAAAGCGAAUUGGUAGAAGAAUGGGCAUCAAAGGUUCUGAUUCAUCCACGCUACUUUUUCUCAUUACUCAGUCAACCUCACCGUUUAAAUCAGGAUUCAUACACAGGAAGCUUCUGCCCAGACCCACGUUCUGGCACUUAGUGCAAUAUUUUCUCGAGAUCUCUUGAGCCAAGAUGAAAGGACAAUGUGAACUUUUUCUCUCAUCCAGUUUAUCGCACAGCGCUGUCUUUUUUGCCUCCGAUUUUUCUCACCUUCACUGAAGCAGCUCCCAUCAGAGGAUAUGGAAGUGCAGUAUUGAUCUAUUAGGUGGAUGAGGUGGAAAGUAUGUGCCUCUGUGUGUGGAUACAGCACCAGAAGUCCACUUACGGCUGUCCAGAGCAAAUCCCAAUGCAGCAGCAGAAAUGAACGCUGGCUAAUUGAGUGAGAGUCAGAAAGGCCAGCCGUUGUACCUGUUGGCUGCCAGCUUCCAGUCUGUGACUUUUUUCAUGUGUCCUUCACAUAAUGGGACACUAUGUUUUUGGCAACAUCUUUUGAAGGCCGUCCAGGAAAAACAGUCCCGCAACAUUGCUAAUCUGAAAGUCAUCAAAAGAAAAGAAGACUGUGCACGAGACACCUGAACUGCACCUAAACUCCUGGUCAACUUGAGGGGACACUAUGGCUGGCGGCUCCAAGACACUUCAGUGGACACAAGGAAAUCUACAGUCGACGCUGUGUGUUGCCAUGGUGACAGAAGAACCCAAGCUUCCUGAGAAACUAAACCACCACACCACUUUUUGUUAAGUUAACCUUGUAAUUUGACCAUUUUUUAACAUUCUACUCAACAAAAUUUGACUCUGGAAAGGUGAAGGUGAGUAAAGACGGUAAGUGCCUGUGGAUUUUUUUAAAAUUUGAAAUUAUUUAGCUUGUUAUGAAUAAAUUAAUGAGCUCUGUCAUUAUCUUAAUGUAUUUUACUUGUGUUUAUGUUAGAAGAAAGCAACAUUGUUUUAAAACUGUGAAUCAUUCUGUGUAUUUGUUGUUUCCAAAUAAAUAAAAAUAUAUGGAACAAACAUAUGUCUGGUUUUCUUUCUAUAAAAAAAAGGUUUUAUGUGGUUUUAAUUUAUGGAUUUUUCCGUUACAUCUACAAUGUCCAAAAAUAAUAUUAGCAUGAUGUCAUUGUCAGUUGUUGGAUUUUAUUCCUAGACUCUUGGGAACAAACACAUUUAACUUUUAUUUUAUUUUUCGUUUUAAACUAUCUUGUGUGUUCCUCCAGUGAUAAGACAAACACAUUAUUUUCAAACAGAAACAUUUCGGCA